RNAcentral lists this ribosomal RNA (2924 nucleotides) under Escherichia coli. RNAcentral's name for it is "bacterial LSU rRNA". It matches the Rfam family "Bacterial large subunit ribosomal RNA". Lineage: Bacteria; Pseudomonadati; Pseudomonadota; Gammaproteobacteria; Enterobacterales; Enterobacteriaceae. The record is from RNAcentral.
GGGUUGUGAGGUUAAGCGACUAAGCGUACACGGUGGAUGCCCUGGCAGUCAGAGGCGAUGAAGGACGUGCUAAUCUGCGAUAAGCGUCGGUGAGGUGAUAUGAACCGUUAUAACCGGCGAUUUCCGAAUGGGGAAACCCAGUGUGUUUCGACACACUAUCAUUAACUGAAUCCAUAGGUUAAUGAGGCGAACCGGGGGAACUGAAACAUCUAAGUACCCGAGGAAAAGAAAUCAACCGAGAUUCCCCCAGUAGCGGCGAGCGAACGGGGAGGAGCCCAGAGCCUGAAUCAGUGUGUGUGUUAGUGGAAGCGUCUGGAAAGGCGUGCGAUACAGGGUGACAGCCCCGUACACAAAAAUGCACAUAUUGUGAGCUCGAUGAGUAGGGCGGGACACGUGGUAUCCUGUCUGAAUAUGGGGGGACCAUCCUCCAAGGCUAAAUACUCCUGACUGACCGAUAGUGAACCAGUACCGUGAGGGAAAGGCGAAAAGAACCCCGGCGAGGGGAGUGAAAAAGAACCUGAAACCGUGUACGUACAAGCAGUGGGAGCCUCUUAAUGGGGUGACUGCGUACCUUUUGUAUAAUGGGUCAGCGACUUAUAUUCUGUAGCAAGGUUAACCGAAUAGGGGAGCCGAAGGGAAACCGAGUCUUAACUGGGCGUUAAGUUGCAGGGUAUAGACCCGAAACCCGGUGAUCUAGCCAUGGGCAGGUUGAAGGUUGGGUAACACUAACUGGAGGACCGAACCGACUAAUGUUGAAAAAUUAGCGGAUGACUUGUGGCUGGGGGUGAAAGGCCAAUCAAACCGGGAGAUAGCUGGUUCUCCCCGAAAGCUAUUUAGGUAGCGCCUCGUGAAUUCAUCUCCGGGGGUAGAGCACUGUUUCGGCAAGGGGGUCAUCCCGACUUACCAACCCGAUGCAAACUGCGAAUACCGGAGAAUGUUAUCACGGGAGACACACGGCGGGUGCUAACGUCCGUCGUGAAGAGGGAAACAACCCAGACCGCCAGCUAAGGUCCCAAAGUCAUGGUUAAGUGGGAAACGAUGUGGGAAGGCCCAGACAGCCAGGAUGUUGGCUUAGAAGCAGCCAUCAUUUAAAGAAAGCGUAAUAGCUCACUGGUCGAGUCGGCCUGCGCGGAAGAUGUAACGGGGCUAAACCAUGCACCGAAGCUGCGGCAGCGACACUAUGUGUUGUUGGGUAGGGGAGCGUUCUGUAAGCCUGUGAAGGUGGCCUGUGAGGGUUGCUGGAGGUAUCAGAAGUGCGAAUGCUGACAUAAGUAACGAUAAAGCGGGUGAAAAGCCCGCUCGCCGGAAGACCAAGGGUUCCUGUCCAACGUUAAUCGGGGCAGGGUGAGUCGACCCCUAAGGCGAGGCCGAAAGGCGUAGUCGAUGGGAAACAGGUUAAUAUUCCUGUACUUGGUGUUACUGCGAAGGGGGGACGGAGAAGGCUAUGUUGGCCGGGCGACGGUUGUCCCGGUUUAAGCGUGUAGGCUGGUUUUCCAGGCAAAUCCGGAAAACCAAGGCUGAGGCGUGAUGACGAGGCACUACGGUGCUGAAGCGACAAAUGCCCUGCUUCCAGGAAAAGCCUCUAAGCAUCAGGUAACAUCAAAUCGUACCCCAAACCGACACAGGUGGUCAGGUAGAGAAUACCAAGGCGCUUGAGAGAACUCGGGUGAAGGAACUAGGCAAAAUGGUGCCGUAACUUCGGGAGAAGGCACGCUGAUAUGUAGGUGAAGCGACUUGCUCGUGGAGCUGAAAUCAGUCGAAGAUACCAGCUGGCUGCAACUGUUUAUUAAAAACACAGCACUGUGCAAACACGAAAGUGGACGUAUACGGUGUGACGCCUGCCCGGUGCCGGAAGGUUAAUUGAUGGGGUUAGCGGCAACGCGAAGCUCUUGAUCGAAGCCCCGGUAAACGGCGGCCGUAACUAUAACGGUCCUAAGGUAGCGAAAUUCCUUGUCGGGUAAGUUCCGACCUGCACGAAUGGCGUAAUGAUGGCCAGGCUGUCUCCACCCGAGACUCAGUGAAAUUGAACUCGCUGUGAAGAUGCAGUGUACCCGCGGCAAGACGGAAAGACCCCGUGAACCUUUACUAUAGCUUGACACUGAACAUUGAGCCUUGAUGUGUAGGAUAGGUGGGAGGCUUUGAAGUGUGGACGCCAGUCUGCAUGGAGCCGACCUUGAAAUACCACCCUUUAAUGUUUGAUGUUCUAACGUUGGCCCGUAAUCCGGGUUGCGGACAGUGUCUGGUGGGUAGUUUGACUGGGGCGGUCUCCUCCUAAAGAGUAACGGAGGAGCACGAAGGUUGGCUAAUCCUGGUCGGACAUCAGGAGGUUAGUGCAAUGGCAUAAGCCAGCUUGACUGCGAGCGUGACGGCGCGAGCAGGUGCGAAAGCAGGUCAUAGUGAUCCGGUGGUUCUGAAUGGAAGGGCCAUCGCUCAACGGAUAAAAGGUACUCCGGGGAUAACAGGCUGAUACCGCCCAAGAGUUCAUAUCGACGGCGGUGUUUGGCACCUCGAUGUCGGCUCAUCACAUCCUGGGGCUGAAGUAGGUCCCAAGGGUAUGGCUGUUCGCCAUUUAAAGUGGUACGCGAGCUGGGUUUAGAACGUCGUGAGACAGUUCGGUCCCUAUCUGCCGUGGGCGCUGGAGAACUGAGGGGGGCUGCUCCUAGUACGAGAGGACCGGAGUGGACGCAUCACUGGUGUUCGGGUUGUCAUGCCAAUGGCACUGCCCGGUAGCUAAAUGCGGAAGAGAUAAGUGCUGAAAGCAUCUAAGCACGAAACUUGCCCCGAGAUGAGUUCUCCCUGACUCCUUGAGAGUCCUGAAGGAACGUUGAAGACGACGACGUUGAUAGGCCGGGUGUGUAAGCGCAGCGAUGCGUUGAGCUAACCGGUACUAAUGAACCGUGAGGCUUAACCUUACAACGCCGAAG